GUCUACGGCCAUACCACCCUGAACGCGCCCGAUCUCGUCUGAUCUCAGAAGCUAAGCAGGGUCGGGCCUGGUUACUACUUGGAAGGGAGACA
This is a ribosomal RNA of Ochotona princeps (American pika), 92 nucleotides long. Lineage: Eukaryota; Metazoa; Chordata; Mammalia; Lagomorpha; Ochotonidae. The record is from Ensembl.